GUUGCAGACACGUGAAAUUUGCCGCCACGCACAGGAUCGGAGCGUCCCUAAGAGUUACAGACCUUCACGUUGGCUGAGGUGAAAUGAAAAAGCUCCUCCUCAAAGUCACAGAAGCGGUCGUGAAAGAUGGCCAGACACCAACUCUGCUUGAAGAAGCUGCAGCACGGGGAGGCACAAGGUCAAAGGUCAGGCUGCAAACUCAUCCGAGCAUGGUUGGCUGGACCCAGCAAGAGGGCGGCGUCUUAUACUUUCCACAGGAUAUAGACAGCAAUCAGCGAUCAGCUGCAGCACGUCCAUCAAGAUCGGAGGUGCCGAAGGGGGCCAUUUGCGGGCUGGGGCACAUUCUAAAAAUCAGCGGUAAUUUUACAAGCGAAAUGUCAAAAUAUUAAAAGAAAAAAGUUGUAAUCUAAGGGGAAAGGUCAUCACUUGAGGAGAACAACCUAGGAGGAAUAUUAGGAGGAAAAUAAUGUCAUUUUAGUAGCAUAAAGU
Long non-coding RNA from Doryrhamphus excisus (bluestripe pipefish), 489 nucleotides. RefSeq lists it as uncharacterized. NCBI's taxonomy places the organism in Eukaryota, Metazoa, Chordata, Actinopteri, Syngnathiformes, Syngnathidae. The record is from RefSeq and is a predicted model, not a curated record.